GUGGGGAAUAUUGGACAAUGGGCGCAAGCCUGAUCCAGCCAUGCCGCGUGAGUGAUGAAGGCCCUAGGGUUGUAAAGCUCUUUCACCGAUGAAGAUAAUGACGGUAGUCGGAGAAGAAGCCCCGGCUAACUUCGUGCCAGCAGCCGCGGUAAUACGAAGGGGGCUAGCGUUGUUCGGAAUUACUGGGCGUAAAGCGCACGUAGGCGGAUAUUUAAGUCAGGGGUGAAAUCCCAGAGCUCAACGCUGGAACUGCCUUUGAUACUGGGUAUCUCGAGUAUGGAAGAGGUGAGUGGAAUUCCGAGUGUAGAGGUGAAAUUCGUAGAUAUUCGGAGGAACACCAGUGGCGAAGGCGGCUCACUGGUCCAUUACCGACGCUGAGGUGCGAAAGCGUGGGGAGCAAACAGGAUUAGAAACCCUUGUAGUCC
RNAcentral lists this ribosomal RNA (425 nucleotides) under uncultured bacterium. Its description in RNAcentral is "partial 16S ribosomal RNA". It matches the Rfam family "Bacterial small subunit ribosomal RNA", at positions 354 to 796 of the family's 1533-position model. The record is from RNAcentral.